GAGAGCCACUAUUAUGAAGAGCUCUCUAGAAAAGAGGUUGCUAACUCUGUGCCAGCAGCAGCGGUAAUACAGAGACCUCGAGCGUUAUCCGGAUUUAUUGGGCGUAAAGCGUUCCGAUCGGUGGUCGUAUAUGUCUUGUGUGAAAGACCGAAGCUUAACUUCGUGUUUGCACCAGAAACUGUACGACUUGAAGAAUAAAGGGGUGGCUAGAACUCUACAAGUACCGGUGAAAUGGGUUGAUAUGUAGGGGAAUACCUAAAGCGAAGGCAGGCCACUGGGUAUUACUUGACACUGCUAGGACGAAAGCGUGGGGAGAGAAUGGGAUUAGAUACCCCAGUAUUCCACGCCCUAAACGAUGAGUGUUUACUUUUAGAGUCUGUCAAAUGACUUUGGAGGUACAAGCUAACGCUAUAAACACUCCGCCUGUAGAGUACGGCCGCAAGGCUAAAACAUAAAGGAAUUGACGGGAACCCGCGCAAGUAGUGGAUCAUGCGGCUUAAUUCGUAAGUAAGCGUGGAACCUCACCUAGGUUUGACAUGCUCUUGCAAGACUUUGGAAACUUAGUCCCUCUCUUCGGAGACUUUUGCACAGAUGAUGCACGGUCGUCGUCAGCUCGUGUCGUGAGAUGUUCGGUUAAGUCCGGUAACGAGCGCAACCCCAGUCCUUAGUUAUUUAAUGUCUAAGGAGACCGCCGAAGUUUAAUUCGGAGGAAGGAUGGGAUGACGUCAGAUCUGCGUGUCUCUUACAUCUAGGGCUGCACGCAUGAUACAAUGGGAAUGGUACAACGGGUUAUGCCAAAGAGCGAUCUGGAGCGAAUCCCCCAAAACCACCCUCAGUACGGAUUGGAGUCUGAAACUCGACUCCAUGAAGCUGGAAUUACUAGUAAUCGCUGAUCAGCCACGCAGCGGUGAAUACGUUCUCGGGUUUUGUACACACUGCCCGUCACGCCCUGGGAAUUGAAUGCGCCCCAAACC
RNAcentral lists this ribosomal RNA (974 nucleotides) under uncultured bacterium. RNAcentral's name for it is "bacterial SSU rRNA". It matches the Rfam family "Bacterial small subunit ribosomal RNA", at positions 456 to 1428 of the family's 1533-position model. The record is from RNAcentral.